Molecule: long non-coding RNA, 666 nt
Filed under: Fukomys damarensis (Damara mole-rat)
Lineage: Eukaryota; Metazoa; Chordata; Mammalia; Rodentia; Bathyergidae
Description: lncRNA (ENSFDAG00000022238.1)
Source: RNAcentral
CAUUUUCCAAUGAAAGACCAAGUAGAAGCUCCCACGAAAGACAAGCUUUUGCUUAAAAUUUGUUUAUCGUGAUUUUCAGAGCAGAUGAGGCCAGAGUGACCGCCAGCCUCCUCACAUGUAGAAACUAGCCCGAUUUGUCACUGAUUAGCAGAGCGGCACACUGUUAAAUGGCCUUCUCUUUCUGUCUGCAGGUCAAAGCCCAGGCGGGCACCACCUGAGACUGAGACUCCAUCGUCCAUCAUCCCCACGUAUAAGUCCUCCUGGGGGGCUGCCCCAGCAGCCGUGCGCCACAUGUGAGGCGACAAAGGGAGCCAAGGAGGUGAUAAGGAAAGAGCCUGAUACUCACUUAAGUUCUGGACUCAGAUGUGACACAGGAGGCUGUGCUCCUGCAGCUGUUUCUGCGGGCCCGUCAGGCCAUCCAUUCCUGAGAGGGCGGGCAACUUCCGAGCAGACUCAGACGGCAGAGGAGAACUUCCUGGCUCCCAUGCCACCUCUUUACAUCACCACCGCAUUCCCUGGGACCCACACACUAAGGAUCCACCGUCUUCUUGUGCUGCCUCUGUAUCCAUCCCCUUUUCUUAUUUGCUUACAUCGGCAUUCUUUACUCAUUAAAAUAACCUAAGCCAGGCGUGGUGGUACAGGCCAGUAAUUUCAUCACUCUGGGAG